AGGAAAAGAAACUAACAAGGAUUCCCCUAGUAACUGCGAGUGAAGCGGGAAAAGCUCAAAUUUAAAAUCUGGCAGUCUUGGCUGUCUGAAUUGUAUUCUAGAGAAGUGCUUUCUGUGCUGGACCGUGUACAAGUCUCUUGGAACAGAGCGUCAUAGAGGGUGAGAAUCCCGUCUUUGACACGGACUACCAGUGCUAUGUGAUGCGCUCUCAAAGAGUCGAGUUGUUUGGGAAUGCAGCUCAAAAUGGGUGGUAAAUUCCAUCUAAAGCUAAAUAUUGGCGAGAGACCGAUAGCGAACAAGUACCGUGAGGGAAAGAUGAAAAGCACUUUGGAAAGAGAGUUAAACAGUACGUGAAAUUGCUGAAAGGGAAACGCUUGAAGUCAGUCGCGUUGUUCAGAACUCAGCCUUGCCUCGGCUUGGUGCACUUUCUGAUUAACGGGCCAGCAUCAGUUUUGACUGCAGGAAAAAGAUUAGGGGAAUGUGGCACCUUCGGGUGUGUUAUAGCCUUUGAUUAUAUACUGUGGUUGGGACUGAGGAACUCAGCACGCGCAAGUUGUGCUCAGGAUGCUGGCGUAAUGGCUUUAAACGACCCGUCUUGAAACACGGACC
Molecule: ribosomal RNA, 609 nt
Filed under: uncultured fungus
Lineage: Eukaryota; Fungi
Description: LSU rRNA
Rfam family: Eukaryotic large subunit ribosomal RNA
Source: RNAcentral